CCUACGGGAGGCAGCAGUGAGGAAUAUUUGUCAAUGGACGUGAGUCUGAACCAGCCAAGUAGCGUGAAGGAUGACUGUUCUAUGGGUUGUAAACUUCUUUUAUAAAGGAAUAAAACGAGGCACGUGUGCCUUUUUGCAUGUACUUUAUGAAUAAGGAUCGGCUAACUCCGUGCCAGCAGCCGCGGUAAUACGGAGGAUCCGAGCGUUAUCCGGAUUUAUUGGGUUUAAAGGUAGCGUAGAUGGGUUGUUAAGUCAGUUGUGAACGUUUGUGGCUCAACCGUAAAAUUGCAAUUGAUACUGGGAGGCUGGAGUAUGGUUGAGGUAGGCGGAAUGAGUGGGGUAGCGGUGAAAUGCGGAGAGAGCACGAAGAACCCAGAUUGCGAAGGCAGC
Molecule: ribosomal RNA, 390 nt
Filed under: uncultured bacterium
Lineage: Bacteria
Description: partial 16S ribosomal RNA
Rfam family: Bacterial small subunit ribosomal RNA
Source: RNAcentral